Molecule: ribosomal RNA, 248 nt
Filed under: uncultured bacterium
Lineage: Bacteria
Description: partial 16S ribosomal RNA
Rfam family: Bacterial small subunit ribosomal RNA
Source: RNAcentral
CGUAGGCGCGAGCGUUGUCCGGAAUUAUUGGCGUAAGAGCUCGUAGGCGGCUGGUCGCGUCUGCCGUGAAGCCCGCGGCUUAACCGUGGGUCUGCGGUGGAUACGGGCCGGCUAGAGGCAGGCAGGGCAAGUGGAAUUCCUGGUGUAGCGGUGAAAUGCGCAGAUAUCAGGAGGAACACCGGUGGCGAAGGCGGCUUGCUGGGCCUGUCCUGACGCUGAGGAGCGAAAGCGUGGGAGCGAACAGGAUU